RNAcentral lists this ribosomal RNA (622 nucleotides) under uncultured bacterium. RNAcentral's name for it is "bacterial SSU rRNA". It matches the Rfam family "Bacterial small subunit ribosomal RNA", at positions 229 to 847 of the family's 1533-position model. The record is from RNAcentral.
GCAUGCGUGACAUUAGCUUGUUGGCGGGGUAACGGCCCACCAAGGCGACGAUGUCUAGGGGUUCUGAGAGGAAGGUCCCCCACACUGGUACUGAGACACGGACCAGACUCCUACGGGAGGCAGCAGUGAGGAAUAUUGGUCAAUGGGCGAGAGCCUGAACCAGCCAAGUCGCGUGAAGGAUGACGGCCCUACGGGUUGUAAACUUCUUUUGUCAGGGAGCAAUUGGGUCCACGCGUGGGCUUAGCGAGAGUACCUGAAGAAAAAGCAUCGGCUAACUCCGUGCCAGCAGCCGCGGUAAUACGGAGGAUGCGAGCGUUAUCCGGAUUUAUUGGGUUUAAAGGGUGCGUAGGCGGAAUAUCAAGUCAGCGGUAAAAAUUCGGGGCUCAACCCCGUCGUGCCGUUGAAACUGAUGUUCUUGAGUGGGCGAGAAGUAUGCGGAAUGCGUGGUGUAGCGGUGAAAUGCAUAGAUAUCACGCAGAACUCCGAUUGCGAAGGCAGCAUACCGGCGCCCAACUGACGCUGAAGCACGAAAGCGUGGGUAUCGAACAGGAUUAGAUACCCUGGUAGUCCACGCAGUAAACGAUGAAUGCUAAUUGUCCGGAGGGAUUGACCUCUGGGUGAU